This 2397-nucleotide long non-coding RNA is filed under the name Portunus trituberculatus (swimming crab). Its description in RNAcentral is "uncharacterized LOC123509849". The record is from RNAcentral. Lineage: Eukaryota; Metazoa; Arthropoda; Malacostraca; Decapoda; Portunidae.
UCUUCCCUCAUAUGUAGGGAGAGUAAGGAGUAUCAGGGAGCUGAAAUAUAGGAGUAAUGAGGGUGAAAAGAAGAAGCAGUAGGAUCAGCUGAGCCGGUCCAUUACGCAACUCUUGGAAAAGGUUCUUAUAUUGUUGAUCACAACCGACACUUUCACUUCGCUCUUGAAGUGUAAAUCUUUGUUUUUUCCUCUUCCCUACAUCUGGCUGUGUUGUAUUUUUUUUUUUUUUUUUAGCUUAUCAGGUCAAUUCUGACUGUAUGUAUGUGUGGUGCGUGAUAUUUUUAGCUAUACGAAAGUAGGUGAAGAGGAUUAGGGAGGAAAAGGGAGAGGAUGGGAUGUGGUGUUCAGGAGCAUUAGGUCGAGGUCUUUUCUGCCGGCCGGUGAUCGGGUAGCCCGUGAGAUGCUCAUGCCGGUUGUGAUUCUGUAGGCUGUAUGAUGCUUGUGCUACAUUGCUGCAGAGUUAUUUCAAGGAUUGGAUGUGGCUGUAGAACAAGUAUAGAUGUCUCUAAAGUGAUUGGUGAUUAGGGAAAAAGGUAUACCAAGGUGCAAUCAAAGGGUCGAAGCUAUUAUCUUCAUCCACAUUUUUCUCACUAAGAUGUAUAACUCAGACAUCAUUCAUCCAUUCUUGUCUAGACUGACCAUAAGACAUGUGCUAUCGCAUUAUCUUUGUUCUUAUCGGAGUUGGGUUUUUCAUCAAUGUUCAUACACAGUGAGACAAUUGUGGGUGACUGACCUCGGCUUGGACUGUGGUGGGUGUCAUUGCUUGAGUGGCAGGGUAUCUUCUCAGGAAUUUGAUCCACAACAGUUGCUAUGCAUAACUUAUUUUUGCAGUUUCAGAUCUCAAGAUUUUUACUGUUUCAGAACUUGAGUCUUUCUGUUUAGAUAACUUGUACUCUUUCAAAAUUUGAUUUUCACACUAGAUAUCUUUAUACAGUUUCAUAAUACAAGCCAUUAUUGAGGAAGGAGAGAGUGACGUUUGGUUCAUGUGAAAGACAGGAAGAGGAGGAGAUUGAGGCAAGGGUUCACUCUACAGAGGAAUGGGAAGAAAUAAGGCUGGAAAUGAUAGAUUACUUCUAUUGAUAAUUCAAGAUAAAGGAAGGUGCACCUUUUUGUGUGUUUGAACUAAUUCAUAAUCAGAUUACUUGGGCUUUAAGAACGACAGGUAGGCCAUACAGCUGCAGGGUUUUAUUACAUUAGGUUUAUCAAUGUAGGGCAUGGACAAGGAAAAUAUUUUGGUGUAAUGACCUGUGUGUGUGUGUGUGUGUGUGUGUGCGUGCAUCUCUUUAAUCAGGGUAUUAGCAUGAUAAGUUUUUAGUAAAGUGUAGUUUAUUGAAUACUUCCUACCUGGCUUGUCUUCAUUAACUAUGUCUUAACUGGUUGGCUUCUUUAACUAUAUCUGGGUUACCUGGUUGUUUUCAUGGCUGACUGGCGAGUUUGAUUCACUACCUGAGUUACUUAUCUGGCUUGCUUUGUUUAUUAGCAGGCUGUCUUUAUUCACUACAGUACCUGGCUUACUCACCUGACUGGCAUUCCUUACUUCAUGGAUUAAUUGAUCUACUUAGCUUGAGCAUGUAUUAAGAAUGGUUGAUUGGUUCUAUAAAGAAAUAAGGAUACUUCUGGUUAUAUUGUCAAAGCAUGUGGUAUUAUAUCUACAGCUAGUAUAUCUCAUUGUAUCAAAGUUCAUACAUCUCUUAAAUAAUCUUUCACUGGGUGCAUUUUAGUAACAUGACCUAAAUCACAUAUCAGAUGCUAUCAUCAUGGACAAAGCUUGACUGGCAUCACAUGAUUUGCUCCCUUUCUAUUGUUUGUCUUUUUAAUUAAUUUCUACCCUUAUUGUUAUUUAUAUUAUUCAUCAUUUUUUUUAACUGCAUCUUUAUCUUUUUUUAUUCUUUUCCCUUUAUCCUUUUCUUUUUAAUCCUCUUUACACUUAUUCUUACCUUCACUACUUUGUUUUCCUUCUUUUUGGAUAAAGUUAAGGAAAUACAAUAAUCAUUAUUUGGGUAACAAGGUGACAAGGAAACAUUACCAUUGUAUAGAUGCACCAGAUGAUACCAUUGAUUUAAGAGAAGCUACUGUUACAUAUAUCACUACUGUCAACACACAGCCAGAAUUUGAUUAAUCUGUUAUAUACCUAUUGUAUUUUGUGUCUUUCCUCCUGACGUGAUUGUAAACUAGAAGGAAAGAAAUGUCACUUAUAUUGGAGAGAAGGCUAUGAAUGUCUUUUUUUGAAGGGGAAGGUAGAGAAAGAGACUACAGAAUGAACACAACAAGAGAAAAUAAUGUUAUAAUAGAAACAGACAGAAUUAAACAAAAUCUUACGGGCAAGCAAAGAAAGAUAAAACAAGUAUAGACAGAUAAACAGACAGACAGGCUAACAAUUAGGCAACAAUAAACUCA